This is a long non-coding RNA of Cavia porcellus (domestic guinea pig), 1595 nucleotides long. RefSeq lists it as uncharacterized. Lineage: Eukaryota; Metazoa; Chordata; Mammalia; Rodentia; Caviidae. The record is from RefSeq and is a predicted model, not a curated record. The transcript is spliced from 3 exons.
GGGAAACAGGUUAAGGGCACAGGCGAGCCGGUCACCCCCAGCCUGACCCCCGCGUCCAUUAGCCAAGCAGCUGAUUGGAGUAGGGAGGCCUCUCGCUGUGUGCUCUGAAAUUGCUUUCAUAAACUAACCAUUAUUAGCAGUCAAUGUGGGCAGCUAAUUUAGAGAAGACAUCCCAGCACAUCACGUCUGUCAUCCAGGUUUAUGUAUCAUUAUCUCAUUUACAGAAUGUCGCAGUGUAAUAUGUGUUUUUGGCAAUAGGCUUGGACCCAUGUGGGGCUCUUUUUAGUGACACAGCAGGGACCCCCUCGAGUAGCCACCUGGUACUCUUCUCUUCACUUCUGUGGGGCCUGGGAUCACACGGAUCAGAGAUCUGGAGCCCCUUGCACACACACACUUACAUACAUGUAUCAAACUCUUGUGGGCACACACAAAUGUACAUACACCCACCCACACAUGAUAUGGGCUCCCAGCAAUCUGCACCCCCUGUCUUGACCCAAGGGAAAGGUGCCCUCCAACCUGGGAGCUAGGAGUGAGUUCUGAUUCCUGCUGGCACCCACUUUCCCCAAGUGUGGCCUUGAGGUGCAUAAACUGCUCUCACCACCCCCUCCGAAGUCUGAGGAGCCCCGGCUGCCCCAUCAUGCACCCACCGGGGAUGGCCCAUUCCAUCCCAGCAGCACUGGCAGCCUGACCUUCCAGCCCUCCGGCAGGUUGUGCGCUCCUCCUGCUGGGGCUCCAGCACAAAUGCGCCCAGAGAAGGCCACCUGUUCGGUGGGUAAUUAUUUUAAUGUGAGGGGCUCAGAGUCACAGACGGUGGCUUGACUACAAGGGCCCCCAGCCUUUCAAAGGAAUUUCCCAGAUGGGCAGGGGAGGAGACUAGGGCGGGUCACCAGGGGCCCUUUAACGAGUUCAUUAGCCAAAUGAUCUCCCACAGCCCAGGGCAGGAAAAGUGCAAGAGGGGAGGAGAGCUGGGCGGUCCUUCCCCUUGAGCUGGGUCUCUGCGGGAGCUGGGAAAGAAAAGGCUCCCCUUGUGCAAGCGGGGUGCGGCUGGCAGCAAUGUCCCACCAGUAUGAGCCUCAGUCUCAGCCACUCUGGAGAAAGUGGUAGGUGUGUGAGGGGAACCAGAGGAAAUCUCCAGAGAAGGACUGUCAAACACCGGAGUGCGGUACAUCCCAGCUGGCUCAGGAGGGGUUAGAGUCCUUCUUAAACGUGUCCACCUCCAGCACUGGCUGUGACCCUGGCUUCCUAGGCCACCCACUCUCAGGAGCUGCAGGAGCUGAGAGCUGGGUACCACUGUUUUGGCCUUCAAACGCAAGCACCUGCUUGCAGGGCUCACCAGCAAGUGGCCAGGUGCUGGUGCUCUUUGGAGGGACAGCAAGCAUGAUGCCACAUGAUGCUCACCAUGUGAACACCUGCUGUCCACUCUGUCCUGAGCCUUAUGACCCUAUGAUGAAAUGAAUUAAAACCUUGCAACAAAACCACAGCUUCCAAGCAGUCUUUCUUUUCUGCUGACAGUAUGGUUCUCCAAUAGUGCUCAGGUGACCCCCACCCCCAUUUUUUCUGUUCCAGGCCCAAAACUUCGAAUCUGUGCCACAGAA